AACGAUGUAGCUCAACUGGAAAGAGCACAGGGCUUCGGCUCUGGGGUGCCCGUUCGAAUCGGGUCAUCGUUA
Molecule: non-coding RNA, 72 nt
Organism: Phytophthora megakarya
Lineage: Eukaryota; Oomycota; Peronosporomycetes; Peronosporales; Peronosporaceae
Source: Rfam